RNAcentral lists this unclassified non-coding RNA (214 nucleotides) under Hevea brasiliensis (rubber tree). The record is from RNAcentral. Lineage: Eukaryota; Viridiplantae; Streptophyta; Magnoliopsida; Malpighiales; Euphorbiaceae.
GUUUUCAUCAAUUUAUUUUUAUAAUAUUUAAUGAAAAAAAUAUAAAAAACUGCAAAACAAGCUCAUCCCGUACAAGUAUGAACAGAAUCUACGACGAAGCAUGAGACGGCGAAGGUAAGAGCCCAAGCUUCCCAAACAAAAAUGAACAACUAGAGAUCUAGAAUAAACGCAGCUCAGUCCAAACUGGAAGGCUACUUGCUAUUAUUGUUGAGCU